RNAcentral lists this ribosomal RNA (610 nucleotides) under Proteus mirabilis. RNAcentral describes it as "partial 23S ribosomal RNA". It matches the Rfam family "Bacterial large subunit ribosomal RNA", at positions 1 to 643 of the family's 2925-position model. Lineage: Bacteria; Pseudomonadati; Pseudomonadota; Gammaproteobacteria; Enterobacterales; Morganellaceae. The record is from RNAcentral.
GGGUUGUGAGGUUAAGCGAAUAAGCGUACACGGUGGAUGCCUAGGCAAUCAGAGGCGAUGAAGGACGUGCUAAUCUGCGAAAAGCGUCGGUAAGGUGAUAUGAACCGUUAUACCCGACGAUAUCCGAAUGGGGAAACCCAGUAUCCAAUGGAUACUAUCAUUAACUGAAUCCAUAGGUUAAUGAGGCGAACCGGGAGAACUGAAACAUCUCAGUACCCCGAGGAAAAGAAAUCAACCGAGAUUCCCCUAGUAGCGGCGAGCGAACGGGGAGCAGCCCAGAGUCUUAAUCAAUAGCAGUGUCAGGAGAACGGUCUGGAAAGUCCGGCAGUAAAGGGUGAUAGCCCCGUAUCUGAAGAUGCUGUUAUUGUGAACUCGACGAGUAGGGCGGGACACGUGUUAUCCUGUCUGAAUAUGGGGGGACCAUCCUCCAAGGCUAAAUACUCCUGAUUGACCGAUAGUGAACCAGUACCGUGAGGGAAAGGCGAAAAGAACCCCGGCGAGGGGAGUGAAAAAGAACCUGAAACCGUGUACGUACAAGCAGUAGGACCCUCAUUAUGGGGUGACUGCGUACCUUUUGUAUAAUGGGUCAGCGACUUAUAUUCUGUAGCAA